UAAACAGGGCUCGAGUACUUCCGGUCGCCGCCUUCGUCAUUUAGGGCUUUGGCCGGCCCGCUCUCGGGCUUGAACUGCUGAUCGGGAGCAAAGCAGGGCAGAUAGUCCCCAGGGUGGCCGGCCCUCUGCUUGCCACUGCCGGAGGGCGAGGCGGCGGCGGCGGCGGCGGCGGCGCCCAGGUCCUUGUCGGCGUAGAAGCAGGAGCCGCCAUAGUCAUAGGAGGGCCGGUUGCAGGCGAGGACCGUGUUGGUGGACUGUUGGUAGAAACAAGGUUCUGGCUCGCAGGGGUCCCUUUUACUUUGACAGCUGUCGUUUUGGCUGCACCGGAGACGAAUCGCCCUCCUUCUGGUGCCAGAAGAAGCAGGAAAUUAGCCAGGUUGCGAGUUUAAAAUCUGCCACUCCAGCGCUUUGAAUCCAGUACGCCACACCUUCCGGCGGAGGAGAUGGAAAUCGCCAUCCAAGAGCCGCGUCUGCUGAAGUCGAACCUCCAUACCCCCUGCUCUCUAUUGACUUACAAAGGAUAACCAGGGGGGUGCAGUGGGGGGGGGGGACUGAAAAGCCAGAGAGAUCCGAAGCAGGACAGAGCCGAGCUAAAGAAUGCAGCUCUAUUCUCGCCAGGGAAAUUAUAAAAAAGUUCAUGUUCACGGUUACCAUCCACAUGACCGUCGGCGACCAAUGGAGGAACCCAGCCACUCAUAAAGUUGUAUUGCAAAGUUGUAAAUUUUCAUAAACAACAACGGAUUUAUGGCCUUUUCCUCAUCACUAAGAAAGAGGCAGGACUUAGAGAGGCGCCAUUUUACCAGAGAGGCAGACCUAGAUUUUUAAAGGACCCACCGUUUGGACUCCCUUUUCACCAUUAUUAGGAAAAUUGCGCUGAAGGCGCUGAGAAUACCAGAGCCUGCAAAGGCUGUUUUCUUCUCCAGGACUCUUCGCCUUGCCCUUUUGCACAUUUUUCUUCACAAUUCCACUGUUAAUCGUGCUUUGGUGGUGGUUGUUUUUUAAAACCAGGUGAUCUGAUUUAUUAAAAGGAAAGAACUGCUUGUAUGGAAAA
Sphaerodactylus townsendi is the source of this 1051-nucleotide long non-coding RNA. RefSeq lists it as uncharacterized. The transcript is spliced from 2 exons. The record is from RefSeq and is a predicted model, not a curated record. NCBI's taxonomy places the organism in Eukaryota, Metazoa, Chordata, Lepidosauria, Squamata, Sphaerodactylidae.